RNAcentral lists this ribosomal RNA (1372 nucleotides) under uncultured bacterium. RNAcentral describes it as "bacterial SSU rRNA". It matches the Rfam family "Bacterial small subunit ribosomal RNA", at positions 28 to 1381 of the family's 1533-position model. The record is from RNAcentral.
GAUGAACGCUGGCGGCGUGCCUAAUACAUGCAAGUCGAGCGAACGGACGAGAAGCUUGCUUCUCUGAUGUUAGCGGCGGACGGGUGAGUAACACGUGGAUAACCUACCUAUAAGACUGGGAUAACUUCGGGAAACCGGAGCUAAUACCGGAUAAUAUUUUGAACCGCAUGGUUCAAAAGUGAAAGACGGUCUUGCUGUCACUUAUAGAUGGAUCCGCGCUGCAUUAGCUAGUUGGUAAGGUAACGGCUUACCAAGGCAACGAUGCAUAGCCGACCUGAGAGGGUGAUCGGCCACACUGGAACUGAGACACGGUCCAGACUCCUACGGGAGGCAGCAGUAGGGAAUCUUCCGCAAUGGGCGAAAGCCUGACGGAGCAACGCCGCGUGAGUGAUGAAGGUCUUCGGAUCGUAAAACUCUGUUAUUAGGGAAGAACAUAUGUGUAAGUAACUGUGCACAUCUUGACGGUACCUAAUCAGAAAGCCACGGCUAACUACGUGCCAGCAGCCGCGGUAAUACGUAGGUGGCAAGCGUUAUCCGGAAUUAUUGGGCGUAAAGCGCGCGUAGGCGGUUUUUUAAGUCUGAUGUGAAAGCCCACGGCUCAACCGUGGAGGGUCAUUGGAAACUGGAAAACUUGAGUGCAGAAGAGGAAAGUGGAAUUCCAUGUGUAGCGGUGAAAUGCGCAGAGAUAUGGAGGAACACCAGUGGCGAAGGCGACUUUCUGGUCUGUAACUGACGCUGAUGUGCGAAAGCGUGGGGAUCAAACAGGAUUAGAUACCCUGGUAGUCCACGCCGUAAACGAUGAGUGCUAAGUGUUAGGGGGUUUCCGCCCCUUAGUGCUGCAGCUAACGCAUUAAGCACUCCGCCUGGGGAGUACGACCGCAAGGUUGAGACUCAAAGGAAUUGACGGGGACCCGCACAAGCGGUGGAGCAUGUGGUUUAAUUCGAAGCAACGCGAAGAACCUUACCAAAUCUUGACAUCCUUUGACAACUCUUGAGAUAGAGCCUUCCCCUUCGGGGGACAAAGUGACAGGUGGUGCAUGGUUGUCGUCAGCUCGUGUCGUGAGAUGUUGGGUUAAGUCCCGCAACGAGCGCAACCCUUAAGCUUAGUUGCCAUCAUUAAGUUGGGCACUCUAAGUUGACUGCCGGUGACAAACCGGAGGAAGGUGGGGAUGACGUCAAAUCAUCAUGCCCCUUAUGAUUUGGGCUACACACGUGCUACAAUGGACAAUACAAAGGGCAGCGAAACCGCGAGGUCAAGCAAAUCCCAUAAAGUUGUUCUCAGUUCGGAUUGUAGUCUGCAACUCGACUACAUGAAGCUGGAAUCGCUAGUAAUCGUAGAUCAGCAUGCUACGGUGAAUACGUUCCCGGGUCU